This 2656-nucleotide ribosomal RNA is filed under the name Salmonella enterica subsp. enterica serovar Paratyphi A. RNAcentral describes it as "bacterial LSU rRNA". It matches the Rfam family "Bacterial large subunit ribosomal RNA", at positions 366 to 2925 of the family's 2925-position model. Lineage: Bacteria; Pseudomonadati; Pseudomonadota; Gammaproteobacteria; Enterobacterales; Enterobacteriaceae. The record is from RNAcentral.
GACAGCCCCGUACACAAAAGCGCAUGUGCUGUGAGCUCGAUGAGUAGGGCGGGACACGUGGUAUCCUGUCUGAAUAUGGGGGGACCAUCCUCCAAGGCUAAAUACUCCUGACUGACCGAUAGUGAACCAGUACCGUGAGGGAAAGGCGAAAAGAACCCCGGCGAGGGGAGUGAAAAAGAACCUGAAACCGUGUACGUACAAGCAGUGGGAGCACAGGUUUACCUGUGUGACUGCGUACCUUUUGUAUAAUGGGUCAGCGACUUAUAUUCUGUAGCAAGGUUAACCGUAUAGGGGAGCCGGAGGGAAACCGAGUCUUAACCGGGCGUUAAGUUGCAGGGUAUAGACCCGAAACCCGGUGAUCUAGCCAUGGGCAGGUUGAAGGUUGGGUAACACUAACUGGAGGACCGAACCGACUAAUGUUGAAAAAUUAGCGGAUGACCUGUGGCUGGGGGUGAAAGGCCAAUCAAACCGGGAGAUAGCUGGUUCUCCCCGAAAGCUAUUUAGGUAGCGCCUCGUGAAUUCAUCUCCGGGGGUAGAGCACUGUUUCGGCUAGGGGGCCAUCCCGGCUUACCAACCCGAUGCAAACUGCGAAUACCGGAGAAUGUUAUCACGGGAGACACACGGCGGGUGCUAACGUCCGUCGUGAAGAGGGAAACAACCCAGACCGCCAGCUAAGGUCCCAAAGUCAUGGUUAAGUGGGAAACGAUGUGGGAAGGCCCAGACAGCCAGGAUGUUGGCUUAGAAGCAGCCAUCAUUUAAAGAAAGCGUAAUAGCUCACUGGUCGAGUCGGCCUGCGCGGAAGAUGUAACGGGGCUAAACCAUGCACCGAAGCUGCGGCAGCGACACUCAGGUGUUGUUGGGUAGGGGAGCGUUCUGUAAGCCUGUGAAGGUGGCCUGUGAGGGUUGCUGGAGGUAUCAGAAGUGCGAAUGCUGACAUAAGUAACGAUAAAGCGGGUGAAAAGCCCGCUCGCCGGAAGACCAAGGGUUCCUGUCCAACGUUAAUCGGGGCAGGGUGAGUCGACCCCUAAGGCGAGGCCGAAAGGCGUAGUCGAUGGGAAACGGGUUAAUAUUCCCGUACUUGGUGUUACUGCGAAGGGGGGNNNNNNNNNNNNNNNNNNNNGGGGGGACGGAGAAGGCUAUGUUGGCCGGGCGACGGUUGUCCCGGUUUAAGCGUGUAGGUGUGUGUUCCAGGUAAAUCCGGUUCACUUUAACACUGAGGCGUGACGACGAGGCACUACGGUGCUGAAGCAACAAAUGCCCUGCUUCCAGGAAAAGCCUCUAAGCAUCAGGUAACAUCAAAUCGUACCCCAAACCGACACAGGUGGUCAGGUAGAGAAUACCAAGGCGCUUGAGAGAACUCGGGUGAAGGAACUAGGCAAAAUGGUGCCGUAACUUCGGGAGAAGGCACGCUGACACGUAGGUGAAGUGAUUUACUCAUGGAGCUGAAGUCAGUCGAAGAUACCAGCUGGCUGCAACUGUUUAUUAAAAACACAGCACUGUGCAAACACGAAAGUGGACGUAUACGGUGUGACGCCUGCCCGGUGCCGGAAGGUUAAUUGAUGGGGUCAGCGCAAGCGAAGCUCCUGAUCGAAGCCCCGGUAAACGGCGGCCGUAACUAUAACGGUCCUAAGGUAGCGAAAUUCCUUGUCGGGUAAGUUCCGACCUGCACGAAUGGCGUAAUGAUGGCCAGGCUGUCUCCACCCGAGACUCAGUGAAAUUGAACUCGCUGUGAAGAUGCAGUGUACCCGCGGCAAGACGGAAAGACCCCGUGAACCUUUACUAUAGCUUGACACUGAACAUUGAGCCUUGAUGUGUAGGAUAGGUGGGAGGCUUUGAAGUGUGGACGCCAGUCUGCAUGGAGCCGACCUUGAAAUACCACCCUUUAAUGUUUGAUGUUCUAACGUGGACCCGUUACCCGGGUUGCGGACAGUGUCUGGUGGGUAGUUUGACUGGGGCGGUCUCCUCCUAAAGAGUAACGGAGGAGCACGAAGGUUGGCUAAUCCUGGUCGGACAUCAGGAGGUUAGUGCAAUGGCAUAAGCCAGCUUGACUGCGAGCGUGACGGCGCGAGCAGGUGCGAAAGCAGGUCAUAGUGAUCCGGUGGUUCUGAAUGGAAGGGCCAUCGCUCAACGGAUAAAAGGUACUCCGGGGAUAACAGGCUGAUACCGCCCAAGAGUUCAUAUCGACGGCGGUGUUUGGCACCUCGAUGUCGGCUCAUCACAUCCUGGGGCUGAAGUAGGUCCCAAGGGUAUGGCUGUUCGCCAUUUAAAGUGGUACGCGAGCUGGGUUUAGAACGUCGUGAGACAGUUCGGUCCCUAUCUGCCGUGGGCGCUGGAGAACUGAGGGGGGCUGCUCCUAGUACGAGAGGACCGGAGUGGACGCAUCACUGGUGUUCGGGUUGUCAUGCCAAUGGCACUGCCCGGUAGCUAAAUGCGGAAGAGAUAAGUGCUGAAAGCAUCUAAGCACGAAACUUGCCCCGAGAUGAGUUCUCCCUGAGACUUUAGGUCUCCUGAAGGAACGUUGAAGACGACGACGUUGAUAGGCCGGGUGUGUAAGCGCAGCGAUGCGUUGAGCUAACCGGUACUAAUGAACCGUGAGGCUUAACCUUACAACGCCGAAGAUGUUUUGGCGGAUGAGAGACGAUUUUCAGCACUGAUU